GAUGAACGCUGGCGGCGUGCCUAAUACAUGCAAGUCGAGCGAACGGACGAGAAGCUUGCUUCUCUGAUGUUAGCGGCGGACGGGUGAGGAACACGUGGAUAACCUACCUAUAAGACUGGGAUAACAUCGGGAAACCGGAGCUAAUACCGGAUAAUAUUUUGAACUGCAUGGUUCAAGAGUGAAAGACGGUCUUGCUGUCACGUAUAGAUGGAUCCGCGCUGCCUUAGCUAGUUGGUAAGGUAACGGCUUACCAAGGCAACGAUGCAUAGCCGUCCUGAGAGCGUGAUCGGCCACACUGUCUGUGAGACACGGCCCACACUCCUACGGGGGGCCGCAGUAGGGACUCCUACGCGAUGGGCGAAAGCCUGACGGAGCAACGCCGCGUGAGUGAUGAAGGUCUUCGGAUCGUAAAACUCUGUUAUUAGGGAAGAACAUAUGUGUAAGUACCUGUGCACAUCUUGACGGUACCUAAUCAGAAAGCCCCGGCUAACUACGUG
RNAcentral lists this ribosomal RNA (497 nucleotides) under uncultured bacterium. Its description in RNAcentral is "partial 16S ribosomal RNA". It matches the Rfam family "Bacterial small subunit ribosomal RNA", at positions 28 to 507 of the family's 1533-position model. The record is from RNAcentral.